Molecule: ribosomal RNA, 417 nt
Filed under: uncultured Lysobacteraceae bacterium
Lineage: Bacteria; Pseudomonadati; Pseudomonadota; Gammaproteobacteria; Lysobacterales; Lysobacteraceae
Description: bacterial SSU rRNA
Rfam family: Bacterial small subunit ribosomal RNA
Source: RNAcentral
GUACCGGACGAAUAACCACCGGCUAACUUCGUGCCCACACCCUCGGUAAUACUAAGGGUGCAAGCGUUACUCGGAAUUACUGGGCGUAAAGGGUGCGUAAGCGGUUGUUUAAGUCUGCUGUGAAAUCCCCGGGCUCAACCUGGGAAUGGCAGUGGAUACUGGAGAGCUUGAGUGCGGUAAAGGGUAGUGGAAUUCCCGGUGUAGCAGUGAAAUGCGUAAAGAUCGGGAGGAACACCAGUGGCGAAGGCGGCUACCUGGACCAGCACUGACACUGAAGCACAAAAACCUGGGGAGCAAACACGAUUAAAUACCCUGGUAGUCCACGCCCUAAACGAUGCGAACUGGAUGUUGGGAGCAACUUGGCUCUCACUGUCGAAGCUAACGCGUUAAGUACGCCGCCUGGGGAGUACGGUCGCA